Molecule: ribosomal RNA, 253 nt
Filed under: uncultured bacterium
Lineage: Bacteria
Description: partial 16S ribosomal RNA
Rfam family: Bacterial small subunit ribosomal RNA
Source: RNAcentral
UACGGGGGGGGCAAGCGUUGUUCGGAAUUACUGGGCGUAAAGGGUUCGUAGGUGGCUGGCUAAGUCAGACGUGAAAUCCCUCAGCUUAACUGGGGAACUGCGUCUGAGACUGGUCGGCUUGAGUGCAGGAGAGGAACGCGGAAUUCCAGGUGUAGCGGUGAAAUGCGUAGAUAUCUGGAGGAACACCGGUGGCGAAGGCGGCGUUCUGGACUGCUACUGACACUGAGGAACGAAAGCCAGGGGAGCAAACGGG